Molecule: ribosomal RNA, 1383 nt
Filed under: Hemidiaptomus gurneyi
Lineage: Eukaryota; Metazoa; Arthropoda; Copepoda; Calanoida; Diaptomidae
Also listed under: 3 other names
Description: SSU rRNA
Rfam family: Eukaryotic small subunit ribosomal RNA
Source: RNAcentral
CAUGCAUGUCUAAGUACAAGCCUCAGUAAGGUGAAACCGCGAAUGGCUCAUUAAAUCACACCUAAUCUACUGGAAAGUUACUAGUUACUUGGAUAACUGAGGUAAUUCUUGAGCUAAUACAUGCGAAAAAUCUCGACUCACGGAGAGAUGCUUUUAUUAGAUCAAAACCAAACGGCUUCGGCCGUCUCAUUGGUGACUCUGAAUAACUUUGGGCUGAUCGUAUGGCCUUGUGCCGACGACGUUUCCUUCGAAGGUGUGCCCUAUCAACUGUCGACUGUGAUAUAGACGCUCACAGUGGUUUUGACGGGUAACGGGGAAUCAGGGUUCGAUUCCGGAGAGGGAGCCUUAAAAACGGCUACCACAUCCAAGGAAGGCAGCAGGCACGCAAAUUACCCAAUGACCGAAGGUCGAGGUAGUGACGAAAAAUAACGAUACAGGACUCAUCCGAGGCCCUGUAAUUGGAAUGAGUACACUUUAAAACCGUUCCCGAGGAUCUAUUGGAGGGCAAGUCUGGUGCCAGCAGCCGCGGUAAUUCCAGCUCCAAUAGCGUAUAUUAAAGUUGUUGUGGUUAAAAAGCUCGUAGUUGGAUCUCGGCGGACAGAAGUCGGUCCGAAUGCUUUCGGUACUGGCUUGUUUGUCCGUGUGUUUUGCCAGAGGCAGGCGGGUGCUCUUCGCCGAGUGUCCGUCUGUGCUGGCAGGUUUACUUUGAAAAAAUUAGAGUGCUCAAAGCAAGCUCUUACGCUUGAAUAUUCGUGCAUGGAAUAAUAGAAUAGGAUGUCGUUUCUAUUUUGUUGGUUUUCGGAAAUCGACAUAAUGAUUAAUAGGGACAGUCGGGGGCAUUUGUAUUCAAACGACAGAGGUGAAAUUCUUGGACCGUUUGAAGACAAACUACUGCGAAAGCAUUUGCCAAGAAUGUUUUCAUUAAUCAAGAACGAAAGUUAGAGGUUCGAAGGCGAUUAGAUACCGCCCUAGUUCUAACCAUAAACGAUGCCAGCUAGCGAUCUGCAGGCGUUUUACUUUACGACCUUGCAGGGAGCUUCCGGGAAACCAAAGCUUGUGGGUUCCAGGGGAAGUAUGGUUGCAAAGCUGAAACUUAAAGGAAUUGACGGAAGGGCACCACCAGGAGUGGAGCCUGUGGCUUAAUUUGACUCAACACGGGAAAUCUCACCAGGCCCGGACACGAGAAGGAUUGACAGAUUGAUAGCUCUUUCUUGAUUUCGUGGGUGGUGGUGCAUGGCCGUUCUUAGUUGGUGGAGUGAUUUGUCUGGUUAAUUCCGAUAACGAACGAGACUCUGUCCUGCUAACUAGUGUCUGCUUCUUUUCUGAGCAGAUUAUUCUUCUUAGAGGGACUGGUAGCUCUUAGCUACACGAGAUUGAGCAAUA